RNAcentral lists this ribosomal RNA (247 nucleotides) under uncultured bacterium. RNAcentral describes it as "partial 16S ribosomal RNA". It matches the Rfam family "Bacterial small subunit ribosomal RNA", at positions 338 to 602 of the family's 1533-position model. The record is from RNAcentral.
CCUACGGGAGGCAGCAGUGGGGAAUAUUGCACAAUGGGGGGAACCCUGAUGCAGCGACGCCGCGUGGGUGAGGAAGUACUUCGGUAUGUAAAGCCCUAUCAGCAGGGAAGAAAAUGACGGUACCUGACUAAGAAGCCCCGGCUAACUACGUGCCAGCAGCCGCGGUAAUACGUAGGGGGCAAGCGUUAUCCGGAUUUACUGGGUUUAAAGGGUGCGCAGGCGGCGAGUUAAGUCAGCGGUAAAAUUU